UAAUUGUUUGAUCCUGGCUAUAAUUUUUAUGUUUUAUUUAAAAUAUGCAUGUAAUAAUUUAGUGUAAUAAAAAAUAUUAAAAAUUUCAUUAUCACUCGCAGCAUAAAAUAUUAAACAAUAAAUUAAUGUUUGAUUUAAUAAAUAAACUGAUUUGGCUAAAGUUUGUGCCAGCAGCUGCGGUUAUACUUCUAAAUCAAUAAAAAUAAAUUAGUUAGUAGUUAAUAAAUAGUUUAUUAUUAUUUUAUUGUGUUUUAAUAAAAAGUGAAAUUAUUAUUAAAUAUAAAAUAUUAUAAUAAAUAAAUGAUUAUGAAGCUAUGAAAAUUAAAGCAAAAACUAGGAUUAGAUACCCUACUAUUUUUAAUUUAAAAUUAAUAUACUUAAAUACUAAAAGCUAUGUUCUUUAAAUUUAAAGGAUUUGGCGGUUGUUUAGUCUAGUUAGAGGAACCUGCUUAUUAAACGAUAAACCUCGCAAUAUCUUACCUACUUUAUUACAGUUUGUAUACCGUCAUUAUCAGAUUACUUUCAAAGAAAAAGUGAUUAUUGUAUGUUUAUACAUUAAAUAUUAGAUCAAGGUGCAGCUUAUAAGUAGGUUUAAGUGGGUUACAAUGAAUUUUAUUUAUUACGGAGAAUAAAUUUAAAUAUUUAUUUGAAGGAGGAUUUAAUUGUAAAUUUAAUUUAAUAAGAUAAAUUGAUAUUAGCUCUAAAUUAUGUACAUAUCGCCCGUCGCUUUCACCUUUAAAAUGAAAUAAGUCGUAACAAAGUAGAUGUACCGGAAGGUGCAUCUAGAUAUAA
This 792-nucleotide non-coding RNA is filed under the name Laomedia astacina. RNAcentral also lists the same sequence under 1 other name. Lineage: Eukaryota; Metazoa; Arthropoda; Malacostraca; Decapoda; Laomediidae. The record is from RNAcentral.